RNAcentral lists this ribosomal RNA (1372 nucleotides) under uncultured bacterium. Its description in RNAcentral is "bacterial SSU rRNA". It matches the Rfam family "Bacterial small subunit ribosomal RNA", at positions 28 to 1381 of the family's 1533-position model. The record is from RNAcentral.
GAUGAUCGCUGGUGGCGUGCCUAAUACAUGCAAGUCGAGCGAACGGACGAGAAGCUUGCUUCUCUGAUGUUAGCGGCGGACGGGUGAGUAACACGUGGAUAACCUACCUAUAAGACUGGGAUAACUUCGGGAAACCGGAGCUAAUACCGGAUAAUAUUUUGAACCGCAUGGUUCAAAAGUGAAAGACGGUCUUGCCGUCACUUAUAGAUGGAUCCGCGCUGCAUUAGCUAGUUGGUAAGGUAACGGCUUACCAAGGCAACGAUGCAUAGCCGACCUGAGAGGGUGAUCGGCCACACUGGAACUGAGACACGGUCCAGACUCCUACGGGAGGCAGCAGUAGGGAAUCUUCCGCAAUGGGCGAAAGCCUGACGGAGCAACGCCGCGUGAGUGAUGAAGGUCUUCGGAUCGUAAAACUCUGUUAUUAGGGAAGAACAUAUGUGUAAGUAACUGUGCACAUCUUGACGGUACCUAACCAGAAAGCCACGGCUAACUACGUGCCAGCAGCCGCGGUAAUACGUAGGUGGCAAGCGUUAUCCGGAAUUAUUGGGCGUAAAGCGCGCGUAGGCGGUUUUUUAAGUCUGAUGUGAAAGCCCACGGCUCAACCGUGGAGGGUCAUUGGAAACUGGAAAACUUGAGUGCAGAAGAGGAAAGUGGAAUUCCAUGUGUAGCGGUGAAAUGCGCAGAGAUAUGGAGGAACACCAGUGGCGAAGGCGACUUUCUGGUCUGUAACUGACGCUGAUGUGCGAAAGCGUGGGGAUCAAACAGGAUUAGAUACCCUGGUAGUCCACGCCGUAAACGAUGAGUGCUAAGUGUUAGGGGGUUUCCGCCCCUUAGUGCUGCAGCUAACGCAUUAAGCACUCCGCCUGGGGAGUACGACCGCAAGGUUGAAACUCAAAGGAAUUGACGGGGACCCGCACAAGCGGUGGAGCAUGUGGUUUAAUUCGAAGCAACGCGAAGAACCUUACCAAAUCUUGACAUCCUUUGACAACUCUAGAGAUAGAGCCUUCCCCUUCGGGGGACAAAGUGACAGGUGGUGCAUGGUUGUCGUCAGCUCGUGUCGUGAGAUGUUGGGUUAAGUCCCGCAACGAGCGCAACCCUUAAGCUUAGUUGCCAUCAUUAAGUUGGGCACUCUAAGUUGACUGCCGGUGACAAACCGGAGGAAGGUGGGGAUGACGUCAAAUCAUCAUGCCCCUUAUGAUUUGGGCUACACACGUGCUACAAUGGACAAUACAAAGGGCAGCGAAACCGCGAGGUCAAGCAAAUCCCAUAAAGUUGUUCUCAGUUCGGAUUGUAGUCUGCAACUCGACUACAUGAAGCUGGAAUCGCUAGUAAUCGUAGAUCAGCAUGCUACGGUGAAUACGUUCCCGGGUCU